This 514-nucleotide ribosomal RNA is filed under the name uncultured bacterium. RNAcentral's name for it is "partial 16S ribosomal RNA". It matches the Rfam family "Bacterial small subunit ribosomal RNA", at positions 28 to 523 of the family's 1533-position model. The record is from RNAcentral.
GAUGAACGCUGGCGGCGUGCCUAAUACAUGCAAGUCGAGCGAACAGAUGAGAAGCUUGCUUCUCUGAUGUUAGCGGCGGACGGGUGAGUAACACGUGGGUAACCUACCUAUAAGACUGGGAUAACUCCGGGAAACCGGGGCUAAUACCGGAUAAUAUUUUGAACCGCAUGGUUCAAUAGUGAAAGACGGUUUCGGCUGUCACUUAUAGUUGGACCCGCGCCGUAUUAGCUAGUUGGUAAGGUAACGGCUUACCAAGGCGACGAUACGUAGCCGACCUGAGAGGGGGAUCGGCCACACUGGAACUGAGACACGGUCCAGACUCCUACGGGAGGCAGCAGUAGGGAAUCUUCCGCAAUGGGCGAAAGCCUGACGGAGCAACGCCGCGUGAGUGAUGAAGGUCUUCGGAUCGUAAAACUCUGUUGUUAGGGAAGAACAAAUUUGUUAGUAACUGAACAAGUCUUGACGGUACCUAACCAGAAAGCCACGGCUAACUACGUGCCAGCCGCCGCGGUAA